Myodes glareolus (Bank vole) is the source of this 969-nucleotide non-coding RNA. The record is from RefSeq and is a predicted model, not a curated record. Lineage: Eukaryota; Metazoa; Chordata; Mammalia; Rodentia; Cricetidae.
AAAGGCGAAUAAACAUCAAAGACCGGGUGGUGGCAGUGGUGGAGGAGGGUGUCUCCUUGAGGAAGGCUUGCACAGAUAAUGUGACCAUCUGCCAGAGAUCAGAAGUAGCCAGCCCCAGAAACCAGUGGAGGGGCAACUCCCAAGCUUGUGGAUGGCAAUGACAAGGGUGACCCUGGCCCGAGGACAGCCAUGGACCCUGGCUGUCUCCUGCAGCCCUUGAAGGAAUCUGCUGCUCACUUGGAUGAUGUCAUCAAUGUUCGAGAACAGGACUUCCAGAUCUCCAGGUGGCAGCUGGAAGCAACGAAAUUGCUGUGGGCAAAGACUGGGUGGGGAACAGUCCUGAGCACUUGCGUCACCUGAGGUCCUACUGCUCUUGGGAAGACUGACUGCCCAGUGCAAGGUUUGGAAAGAUUUGGGACUCUUGUAAGUUAGGCCUCCUCAUUAGUCUACAAUAAAAGGAGACAUCACGUCCAGCUCAGAAGGGAAGCUGAGGGUGCCGGUAAUAGAGUGGGCGAGGGGGGUGCAGGUAGGCAGAGGUCAGUGUUGUGAUUUGAAUAUGGAAUAUUCCGGGCUGAUGAGUUUAAACACUUCUUCCCCUGCUGGAGGCAUUAUUUGAAAAGGCUAUAUUACCUUUAGGAGGUUUACCUUACUGGAAGAAAGGUUAUUGGAGGUGGACUUGAAGGUUUUAUGGCCUGGUUUCUGCUCCUUUUUGCCUAUCCAAUAGCUCAUUUAAUUCUGCACUGUCUGUUCUUGAAGAGGAUGCAGGUUCCUAGCGCCCACAUGGUGGCUCCCAACUGUCUGUAACUCUGGCUUCUGGGGAUCCCACAUCCUUUCUGGCUUCCUCAGGUACCAGGCACACACAGGGAAUACAUGAACAUAGCAAACACUCAUACACAUAAAAAUAAAUCCUAAAAAAAAAAAUCCUACAAAAUUGAAUUACAAAAGAAUACAAUGAUUUUUUAUACCGUU